Molecule: RNA transcript, 1237 nt
Organism: Daucus carota subsp. sativus
Lineage: Eukaryota; Viridiplantae; Streptophyta; Magnoliopsida; Apiales; Apiaceae
Exons: 2
Source: RefSeq, a predicted model, not a curated record
GAAAGCUGAAUCCUAAUAAGAUUUGUUUAGGCCCUCUAGGGUUAUAUAUACUUGUCUCCAGGCUUGUUCCUUUUUCUUAUCAAAGAUAUCCCCAUCGUCACAGUACCUGAUCUGGUUCUUUCACUGCAUAAUUUCAAUGGAGUGCGUGAAAAGGAGGCUGGCCAAGAAACUACUUCUGCCGCUGGAGCAGCAAUUCCCGUUCACAUGUGAAAUCUGUACGGAGAGAAAACCAUACAACAAAUCCUUUUCAGUCAAGGGGUGUCGCCACUCUUAUUGUUCUGAUUGUCUUGUAAAAUACAUUGACAUCAAACUACAAAGCAAAGUUAUUCACAUUCUAUGCCCUGGUCUUGGAUGCACCAGCCAAUUAGACCCUGACAAUUGUCGUCCAAUUAUUGCCGACAAGAUGUUUGAUCAUUGGUGGGCUGCUCUCUACGAAUCUUGGAUUCCUCAAGCCUGCAAGUUGUAUUGCCCCAACAAAACUUGCUCUGCUUUGUUAUUUAUUGAUGCUGAUGGCAGUAGAGGUCCAAUGCUGGCGUGUCCGUAUUGCCAACAAAGGCUGUGUGUGCAUUGUAAAGUCAUGUGGCAUGAGGGGAUUGGCUGCGAAGAAUUCUACUGGCGGAACAAGGAAGAGGAUGAAAAGGAAGACGCCUUGCUUCACCAGCUUGCCUCCGAAAAUGGCUGGCAACAAUGUCCAAACUGCCACAUAUAUAUUUCUCACUAUGACUCGGCCAGUUGUGACGUUAUGCUCUGCAGGAGUUGCGGGUGUGGAUUCUGUUACGGUUGCGGGACUGCUUAUGGUGGUCAUGGAGCACACAUCCCACAUACAGUUUGUUACCGCAAGAAUCAUCCUCCGCUCCACGUACUACAAUCUGUCAAGGACGAUGGAAAGAUUUUAGUUCGGGAGCCGCCCGAAUUUAUCAUCCUCUUCAACGGGCUCUUCAAACAAGCUGAUCUUAACUCUAAAUUUAAAGACGAUCCGAAAAAUUAGAACUCCAAUGGACUCUUAGCGACUUCUCACGCCUCACAUAUUAAUGAGCAUCUAGGUACUCUUAAUUUAUUUGUGUUUACUUCUCUCUCUUUCUCUCUCCAAUUUUUCUUCAAACCUGUCAUCCUCUUCAAACAAGCUUUUAACUCAAAAUUUAAAGAGGAUCCGAAAAAUUAGAACUCCAAUGGACUCUUAGUGACUCUUAGCUUAUUGUUAUUGAAUAUGAUAUUCAAUUUCUUCUAUUUGUAUUCA